RNAcentral lists this long non-coding RNA (200 nucleotides) under Elaeis guineensis (African oil palm). RNAcentral's name for it is "long non-coding RNA (EGUI_LNC039971)". Lineage: Eukaryota; Viridiplantae; Streptophyta; Magnoliopsida; Arecales; Arecaceae. The record is from RNAcentral.
AAAUUACAACUUGGAAAAGAAAAUCGGGUCGACUUGUGAGAAUUGAAUCAAACCCCAUUUCAAGUCAAGAAAUUGAACGCACUUGUAAACAAAACAUUAAAGCAGUCAGAGAAUGGAAGAAAUCUGAGGCAAAAGUAGAUCCAGAAAUGGCUGAAGAUCCAAGGAGAAAAGUAAUCCUAGUAGGGAAUAAUGAGGUUGCU